RNAcentral lists this long non-coding RNA (1318 nucleotides) under Sus scrofa (pig). RNAcentral describes it as "lncRNA (ENSSSCG00005037401.1)". The record is from RNAcentral. Lineage: Eukaryota; Metazoa; Chordata; Mammalia; Artiodactyla; Suidae.
UCAGGUUCCUGAAGUCUCCUUUACAAAGCACCCUUCCCUCGGGGAGGGAAGGGAUGCUGUCCCAGCAUCCCCAUCCUGCCAGCCUCUCUACAGCUGCCCACUGCAUCCUCCCUCCCCAUCCUGCCAGCCUCUCUACAGCUGCCCACCGCAUCCUGUCUUGCUGCAUCUGGAUGGGUGUUUCCUGCCUGUGGCUCAUCCUUGCUCCUGGGGCCUCCAUGAUCCCUACUUAGAAUUUCAAAGCCACUGCCAAGUCCUCCAAUGGGAUCGUCUACCGCCACCCCCAGACACUGAGCAGAGCCUCUUGGGCCUGUUUUGCAGGGUGAUGAGGCUCCUGGAAUCCACCUGGAGCUCUGUGUCUUUCCCUGGAACUUGUUACUGCAGCCUCCCACUGCACUGGGGCGCCUUUUCCCCAGUGUUGGGGAACCUCUCUCUCCUUGUUUCCUCACUGCCCCAGUUGGCCCUCCUUCCCUCCUGGGCAGAGCUGAUGUCCCCUUUGUCAUUUACACCGCAGGGCAAAUGGUCUUGGAAAUGACCUAAAAUUUGCCCUUCAGCUCCAUGACCUAAAAGCUGCUCCUGUGAACCUUGCACCCCGUUUUUAUCAGGUCUUAGCCUCCCUUCCUCUCCCUGGAGCAACAUUGUUUUGGGGGCACCUAUCUUCACACCCAUCUUUCUUUCUUUCUUCCUUUUUCUUUUUUGGCCACCCCAGGACCAGUGGAGUUCCCGGGCCAGGGAUCAAAUGUGUCGCCAUUUACAUCAUAACUGUGCCAACUCUGGAUCCAUCCUUAAUCCACUGUGCUGGGCUAGAGAUCAAACCUGCAUCCCAGAGCUCCAGAGACACAGCCAAUUCCUUUGUGCCACAGGGGAACUCUACACCUGUCUUUCAGAUCCUUGGGAUUUAGUGACUUGAAUUUUAGCCUGACAUCUUGGCCUGACUUUGGGUUGUAGAAGGACCACUCAGCACUCUGUCCAUCCUAGGGGCCCUGCCUCUGCCCAGCCCCCAUCUCCAUUCCCCCGGAUGUUGCUGCACUGAGGCCACCGCGAUGACACAUUUCCAGGCUCUGAUCUCUUCCUCAACCCGACAGCUCGGCCCAGGCAGUUUCCAGCUGAUGGUAUGGGAUUAAUAAAGACUGUAGGAAGCCUUUGUUCUUAAAAAAGAAAGUCCUCUUUUUAAAAAAGAGUGAUGUGCAUAAUAAAAAAAUUCAAAAAGCAAAAGAGAAACUCUCUCCUAUACCCUUGCUCUCUAGUUCCACUCUGCACAGGUGAGUAUUUUGGGUUUCCUGUUUCUUCCAAAUAUUUUCUAAGCACUACUCUGCCACCC